UACGUAGGGUGCGAGCGUUAAUCGGAAUUACUGGGCGUAAAGCGUGCGCAGGCGGUUUUGUAAGCCAGAUGUGAAAUCCCCGGGCUUAACCUGGGAAUGGCAUUUGGGACUGCAAGGCUGGAGUGUGGCAGAGGAGACUGGAAUUCCCGGUGUAGCAGUGAAAUGCGUAGAUAUCGGGAGGAAUACCGAUGGCGAAGGCAGGUCUCUGGGCUGACGCUGACGCUCAUGCACGAAAGCGUGGGGAGCAAACAGG
Molecule: ribosomal RNA, 253 nt
Filed under: uncultured bacterium
Lineage: Bacteria
Description: partial 16S ribosomal RNA
Rfam family: Bacterial small subunit ribosomal RNA
Source: RNAcentral